CGGUUAAGUUAGAAAGGGCGCACGGUGGAUGCCUUGGCACUAGGAGCCGAUGAAGGACGGGACGAACACCGAUAUGCUUCGGGGAGCUGUAAGCAAGCUUUGAUCCGGAGAUUUCCGAAUGGGGAAACCCACUGCUCGUAAUGGAGCAGUAUCCAUAUCUGAAUUCAUAGGAUAUGAGAAGGCAGACCCGGGGAACUGAAACAUCUAAGUACCCGGAGG
This 219-nucleotide ribosomal RNA is filed under the name Escherichia coli. RNAcentral describes it as "partial 23S ribosomal RNA". It matches the Rfam family "Bacterial large subunit ribosomal RNA", at positions 1 to 216 of the family's 2925-position model. Lineage: Bacteria; Pseudomonadati; Pseudomonadota; Gammaproteobacteria; Enterobacterales; Enterobacteriaceae. The record is from RNAcentral.